CUGCAAGUCGAGCGGAACCAAAGGAGCUUGCUCUUCUUGGUUUAGCGGCGGACGGGUGAGUAACACGUGGGCAACCUGCCCUGCAGAUCGGGAUAACUCCGGCGAAACCGGUGCUAAUACCGAAUAGUUUCUGGUCCCUCCUGGGACCGGACGGAAAGACGGUUUCGGCUGUCACUGCAGGAUGGGCCCGCGGCGCAUUAGCUAGUUGGUGGGGUAACGGCCCCCCAAGGCGACGAUGCGUAGCCGACCUGAGAGGGUGAUCGGCCACACUGGGACUGAGACACCGCCCACACUCCUACGGGAGGCAGCAGUAGGGAAUCUUCCGCAAUGGACGCAAGUCUGACGGAACAACCCGGCGGGGGGGGGAAGGUUUUUGGAUUCUAAAAUUUUGGUUGGGGGGAAGAACAAAGCCCAAUUAAUUUCUGGCACCUUGACGGUACUUACCAGAAAGACCCGGCUAAUUCCUGCCAGCAGCCGCGGUAAUAAGUAGGUGGCCAAGCUUUUUCCGAAAUAUUGGGCGUAAAGCGCGCGCAGGCGGUCCUUUAAGUUUGAUGUGAAAGCCCCCGCGUCAACCGUGGAGGGUCAUUGGAAACUGGAGGACUUGAGUGCAGAAGAGGAAAGUGGAAUUCCACGUGUAGCGGUGAAAUGCGUAGAGAUGUGGAGGAACACCAGUGGCGAAGGCGUCUUUCUGGUCUGUAACUGACGCUGAGGCGCGAAAGCGUGGGGAGCAAACAGGAUUAGAUACCCUGGUAGUCCACGCCGUAAACGAUGAGUGCUAAGUGUUAGGGGGUUUCCGCCCCUUAGUGCUGCAGCUAACGCAUUAAGCACUCCGCCUGGGGAGUACGGCCGCAAGGCUGAAACUCAAAGGAAUUGACGGGGGCCCGCACAAGCGGUGGAGCAUGUGGUUUAAUUCGAAGCAACGCGAAGAACCUUACCAGGUCUUGACAUCCCCCUGCCCGGUGUAGAGAUACGCCUUUCCCUUUGGGGACAGCGGUGACAGGUGGUGCAUGGUUGUCGUCAGCUCGUGUCGUGAGAUGUUGGGUUAAGUCCCGCAACGAGCGCAACCCUUGAUUUUAGUUGCCAGCAUUCAGUUGGGCACUUUAAGGUGACUGCCGGUGACAAACCGGAGGAAGGUGGGGAUGACGUCAAAUCAUCAUGCCCCUUAUGACCUGGGCUACACACGUGCUACAAUGGACGGUACAAAGGGCAGCCAACCCGCGAGGGGGAGCCAAUCCCAGAAAACCGUUUUCAGUUCGGAUUGCAGGUUGCAACUCGCCUGCAUGAAGCCGGAAUCGCUAGUAAUCGUGGAUCAGCAUGCCACGGUGAAUACGUUCCCGGGCCUUGUACACACCGCCCGUCACACCCCGAGAGUUUUAACACCCGAAGUCGGUGAGGUAACCCUUGGGAGCCAGCCGCCGAAGGGGACAGUAUGGG
This 1434-nucleotide ribosomal RNA is filed under the name Planomicrobium okeanokoites. Its description in RNAcentral is "bacterial SSU rRNA". It matches the Rfam family "Bacterial small subunit ribosomal RNA". Lineage: Bacteria; Bacillati; Bacillota; Bacilli; Caryophanales; Caryophanaceae. The record is from RNAcentral.